CCCGCAUUUGUCGCCUUGCCCUUGGCCAAGUGACAAACCCGACAACGCUCCACAAACUUGCCGACAUCUUUGCGCAAUGAUGGCCAAAAGUAAGAAGUAACAACAAGUUGCAAUGUUCGGUCACGACCCACAUGGCCCUUAUUAUGCAACUCUUGAAUGAUCUUCAACCUCAAACUGCCCUCUGGAAUACACAACGGAUUGCCAUGAAAAAGAUAACCAUCAACCCAUGCAAACUCCAACUGCAAACCAUCCUGCAACUUCUGAAUAACAUGGGAAAAGAAUGGGUCAGUAGCAUAUAAGUCACAAAAACUGUCAAAACCUGGAACCUCCACUCACAUUUCCAUAAGGAAAGUUUGGCGCCUAUUCAAUGCAUCUGCAAUUUUGUUAAUGGCAUCUGUCUUGUACUUGAUCACAAAAGUAAACUACUGUAAGUAAGCAAUCGAAGAGGCAUGUUGAGCAGAUACCUUAUCCUGAGUACCAAGGUGUUUAAGGGCGUCAUGAUCCUUAUACAAAAUGAACUCCUUGUGGAUCAAAUAGUGAUGCCAAUGUCGAAUGGCUUGGACUAUUGUAUAGAACUCCACAUCAUAAGUACUAUACCGAGACUUCAGGCCAGAAAGCUUCUCACUAAAAUAUGCAAUAGGGCGGUUGUUCUGACUCAGAACACCACGAAUACCCACUUUCAAAGCAUCACAAUGUAGCUCAAAUGGUUGGGUAAAGUCCGGCACACCAAAAAUGGAGCAGUAGUCAACUUCUACUUAAUCAAUUGGAAAGACGACUCUGCCUCGUGAAUCCACUGAAACCUACAAUCCUUCAUGCAAUCUGUAAUUGGUGCCAUGAUGUUACUAAAAUAUAGUAUGAACCUGUGAUAGAAGGAAGCAAGCCCAUGAAAACUUAGCACCUCAGUGACAGUCUUGGGCUGUGGCCACUUACUUAUCGCCUCUACUUUAGAUGUAUCAACUGCUAACCCCGCCUUCGACACCACAUAACCCAGGAACACCACAUUAUCAGUAAGAAAUGAACACUUCUUCACUGCAGCAUAGAAUUUAUCCCUGCGAAGAACUGAAAGAACUUCCCGAAGGUGCUAGACAUGAUCAUCAUCGUUAGCACUAUAAAUUAAAAUAUCGUCAAAGUAGACCACAACAAAUUUACCAAUGAAUGGGCGAAGAUCCUCAUUCAUAACCCCGCAUAAAUGUACUGGGUGCAUUUGAGAGGCCGAAGGGCAUGACUAACCACUCAUACAAUCCUUCCCUCGUCUUAAAUGCGGUCUUCCACUCAUCCCCACGUCUGAUCUGAAUCUGAUGGUAACCACUCUUCAAAUCGAGCUUGCUAAACACACAAGCACCGGUAAGAUGGUCCAACAAAUCAUCCAGGUGGGGAAUAGGAAAGUGGUAACGCACCGUAAUCUUAUUGAUCGCCCUACUAUCCACGUACAUGCGCCACGUACCAUCCUUCUUUGGCGUGAGAAGAGCAGGAACAACACAAGGACUAAGACUCUUCCUGAUGUGUCCUUUUGCCAGAAGCUCCGCAACUUGCUUAUGCAACUCCUCAUUCUCAGUGGGGCUCAUUCUGUAAUGCGCUCAGUUAGGAAGGAUAGCACAUGUACCAAGUCAAUUUGAUGCUGAAUAUCCCGCAGUGGUGGUAAUCCAUCUGGAAGUUCUUCUGGGAAAACUUCAUGAAACUCCUUCAGCAAUGGCUGAACUGCAAGAGGGACUUGAUGUUCACUUUCAAUCGACUUUCCAACCAGCAUAUACACUACCCCAGACUCCUCCAUCUCUGUCUCGAACUUCUUUCUGGUCAGUAAAUUGGCGUUCUUCCCAACUAUUUGUACUGAACCCUUAUUCGGUAGUAACACAAUUUUCUUUCUCCUAAAUAGAAAGUUGUACGUGCUGGUAUAUCCAUCAUGCAGUGAGUGCCUUUCAAACUGCCAUAGCCUUCCUAACAGUAAAUGACACGUAUCCAUCUCUACUACAUCACAUAAAACCUGAUCCUUGUAGGUAGGUCCAAUGGAGAAGCUGAUUCGAGCACGUUGAGACACUUCUACGUCAUUGCCUCUUUUCAGCCACACUAAUUUAUAUGAUUUGGGAUAUUUCUCAAUGUGCAAACCCAGCUUCUUAACGACCUCCUCAGCCACCACAUUCACAUAACUACCAGAAUCAAUAACAAAUUUACAUACCUUCCCUCCAAUUGUACAUGUCGAUUGAAAAAUAUUAUUAGGGAACCAAUCAGUGUUAUUCUCCAAGGGAGUUAGGAAACUCCUCCUCAGCACCAGUGCCUGACCCACAUCACCAACCACAAACUCUUCCUCUCCUGUUGCUUCUUCUACACCUUCACCGUCAAAUACAGUCGGACCUUCAUAAUCGCCAUUCCCCUCAUCAACAAAGAGUCCCCUGCACGGAUUUUCGGGGCACUCAGACUGCCUAUGGCCUGUAACUCUGCAUCCAAAACAAUGAACCCCAGGAUGUGUUGGUUGUUGGACAUGAUUUGUUCUAGGAAUACCAGAUUGAGUAGGAUUAUUAGGACGUGUCACCUGCUGUUGUGGGUUACUGGAAGAACUCCCCCGCAAUGAAAGGACUAGUAGUUCUCCUGGACUAUUGCUUCUCUUUCUGUAUUGCCCUCUGAUGUACUUCAAAAAUUGUUACAGGAUCAAACAUAUUGAGAGUAUCCUGUAUUUGGAGACGAAGACCACCCACGUACCAUGACACCAACUGCUCCUCCAUCUCCAUCAUCUCGUUCCUCGUAAUCAGCAUAUAAAGAUUCGUGGAAUAAUCACUAAUCAUUUUCGCACAUUGACGCAGAUUCUGCGGUUGUUGGUAUAUGGUCCACACAUAAUUGUAAGGCAAAAACUGUUUCUUCAUAUGCUUCUUCAAUUUGCCCACGAUGCAAGCUUAGGUUCCCCUAGCCUGGCUCUCAUCACCUAAGUCUGCUGCCACCAUGCCACUGCUCGCCCACGAAUCCUCGUCGCAAUGAGAGGCACACAUGUAUUAGUAGGAACCUCUUUAGACUCCAAGAUCUCCUCAACUGCAGUCACCCAAUCCAAAAAUUCAUCUAGACUCAACCUACCAUGAAAUUCUGGAAUAUCAACCUUAAAUCCUGAUUCCCAACGUCAAUUGUCUUCCUGACCACCCCUUCUCCAGCAAACUGGUAGAUCCAAUGGUUGUUCAAGCGGUGCAAACGGAUUCUCAUCAUCGGAAUCCUUAAGCUGUUGGCCUACAGGCGCAGGCUGCUGCUGCAUAAGUGUAGCGAUCUGCUGUGUCAGCAAUUCCACUUGUUGACAUAACUGUGCGAUUUCAUCACAUCUAUGUACCUUCUCUACUGAGGCAUCACGGGCUUCAAGACAUCUCCUUAGCGGCAUGGUGAAGGAACAAUUUCGGCUCUGAUACCAACUGACGUAGCGAAAGAUCAUAGGAAAAAUGAACAAUCACAAAAUGAGAAAACUCUCAAGGGAAUUUUAUUGAAUUCAAGACCGCCGCCUCAAAGGGCUUACAACACUUUUAAA
This 3496-nucleotide long non-coding RNA is filed under the name Olea europaea subsp. europaea. Lineage: Eukaryota; Viridiplantae; Streptophyta; Magnoliopsida; Lamiales; Oleaceae. The record is from RNAcentral.